Molecule: ribosomal RNA, 514 nt
Filed under: Syntormon pumilum
Lineage: Eukaryota; Metazoa; Arthropoda; Insecta; Diptera; Dolichopodidae
Description: partial 16S ribosomal RNA
Rfam family: Bacterial large subunit ribosomal RNA (bases 390-514)
Source: RNAcentral
GUCUUUUUGAAAUUAUAUAUAAAGUUUAAUCUGCCCACUGAUAAAUAUUAAAUGGCCGCAGUAUUUUAACUGUGCAAAGGUAGCAUAAUAAUUAGUCUUUUAAUUGAAGGCUUGUAUGAAUGAUUGGACGAGAUAUAAACUGUCUCAUAUAAAAUUUUUUGUAGAAUUUAAUUUUUUAGUUAAAAAGCUAAAAUAUUUUUGAAAGACGAGAAGACCCUAUAGAUCUUUAUAUUAUUAUAAAUUAUUUAUUUUUGGUUUUUUUAUAAAAUAAUUAAUAAUAAUAUUUUGUUGGGGUGACAGUAAAAUUUAAAAAACUUUUAUUUUUAAAUAACAUUAAUUUAUGAUUUUAAGAUCCUUUAUUAUUGAUUAAAAAUUUAAGUUACCUUAGGGAUAACAGCGUAAUUAUUUUGGAGAGUUCAUAUCGAUAAAAUAGAUUGCGACCUCGAUGUUGGAUUAAGAUUAAUUUUAGGUGUAGAAGCUUAAUAAAUUAAGUCUGUUCGACUUUUAAUUUCUU